Mycena olivaceomarginata is the source of this 94-nucleotide non-coding RNA. The record is from the annotation of a GenBank genome assembly. Lineage: Eukaryota; Fungi; Basidiomycota; Agaricomycetes; Agaricales; Mycenaceae.
GGUCCAAAGCGGAGUGGUCCGCACCUGCUCCACAUGGCUAAAAAUUCUCGAAUGAAGUAAAGCAGGAGCGCCCGUUCGACUCGGGCUUGGACCA